CUUGAUCGAGCCGAGCCGCACCGGAUCAUCGGCGGUCCGCCCCGCCCCGUAGGUCGCCUGCAGGGCCUGGAUCUC
RNAcentral lists this antisense RNA (75 nucleotides) under Cryptosporangium arvum DSM 44712. RNAcentral's name for it is "ASpks TB sRNA". It matches the Rfam family "ASpks TB sRNA". Lineage: Bacteria; Bacillati; Actinomycetota; Actinomycetes; Cryptosporangiales; Cryptosporangiaceae. The record is from Rfam by way of RNAcentral.